AUGAAACUACUAACCUUUCUCUGGCCAGCGGACAGAGGGCAUGGGAUGGUGUUGUGCAUGUCCAGCGGCGGGAGGAAGGAGGAGCUGGCAUCAGGGAGCACGACGACAGCAGGGAAGUCAAUGCCGCGGCAUGCCGAAAGCCAAAGGAAUGCGCCGCCUUCACGCACGCGCCCUCCACCCCACAGCCGCCAUGGAACCGUCGCGCCCCCGUGCCACAAGGGCCGGCUCCCUCAGCUUCGUUGCCGCGCCUUGCACGCAGCGCCGUCUCCCUGGCCGCCUGUUGCAUUCGGUGCCGCCGCCGAUGGUCGAGGGAGGAAAGGGACCCUGCCGCCACCGACGAAGGCCGAGCCCGCUGCGUCCCGUGCCGCUGCCGCUACUCGAUGGAGGAGAGGGACCACGCCGCCCGUCGACAUAGGUUGA
RNAcentral lists this ribosomal RNA (420 nucleotides) under Triticum aestivum (bread wheat). Its description in RNAcentral is "partial small subunit ribosomal RNA". Lineage: Eukaryota; Viridiplantae; Streptophyta; Magnoliopsida; Poales; Poaceae. The record is from RNAcentral.